GAUUAACGCUGGCGGCGUGCAUAACACAUUCAGGUCGAACGGAGUGUAGAAAUACACUUAGUGGCGGACGGGUGAGUAACGCGUGAGCAAUCUACCUUCCAGUGAGGGAUAACAACCGGAAACAGUUGCUAAUACCUCAUGAAAUAGCAGCAUCGCAUGGUGCAACUAUCAAAGAUUUAUUGCUGGAAGAUGAGCUUGCGUCUGAUUAGAUAGUAGGCGGGGUAGCGGCCCACCUAGUCGACGAUCAGUAGCCGGACUGAGAGGGUGAACGGCCACAAGGGGACUGAGACGCGGCCCUU
This 299-nucleotide ribosomal RNA is filed under the name uncultured bacterium. RNAcentral describes it as "partial 16S ribosomal RNA". It matches the Rfam family "Bacterial small subunit ribosomal RNA", at positions 28 to 334 of the family's 1533-position model. The record is from RNAcentral.